AGCGAACGCUGGCGGCAGGCUUAACACAUGCAAGUCGAGCGGGCAUCCUUGUGGUGUCAGCGGCAGACGGGUGAGUAACGCGUGGGAACGUGCCCUUCGGUUCGGAAUAACUCAGGGAAACUUGAGCUAAUACCGGAUACGUGCGAGAGCAGAAAGGUUUAUCUGCCGAAGGAUCGGCCCGCGUCUGAUUAGCUAGUUGGUGAGGUUAUGGCUCACCAAGGCGACGAUCAGUAGCUGGUCUGAGAGGAUGAUCAGCCACACUGGGACUGAGACACGGCCCAGACUCCUACGGGAGGCAGCAGUGGGGAAUAUUGGACAAGGGGGGCAACCCUGAUCCAGCCAUGCCGCGUGAGUGAUGACGGCCUUAGGGUUGUAAAGCUCUUUUCUUCGGGACGAUAAUGACGGUACCGGAGGAAUAAGCCCCGGCUAACUUCGUG
RNAcentral lists this ribosomal RNA (437 nucleotides) under uncultured bacterium. RNAcentral describes it as "partial 16S ribosomal RNA". It matches the Rfam family "Bacterial small subunit ribosomal RNA", at positions 29 to 507 of the family's 1533-position model. The record is from RNAcentral.